Non-coding RNA from Aspergillus novoparasiticus, 92 nucleotides. Lineage: Eukaryota; Fungi; Ascomycota; Eurotiomycetes; Eurotiales; Aspergillaceae. The record is from the annotation of a GenBank genome assembly.
GCGCUGGUCGUCUAGUGGUUAGGAUAUCACGUUCCCAGGGUCGAUUUGUCCAGGAAAACGUGGUUACGCGGGUUCGAAUCCCGCCCGGCGCA